UACGGAGGGGGCUAGCGUUAUUCGGAAUUAUUGGGCGUAAAGGGCGCGUAGGCGGCCCGGUAAGUCAAAGGUGAAAUCCCUCGGCUCAACUGAGGAACUGCCUUUGAAACUGUCGGGCUUGAGGCCGGGAGGGGGUAGCGGAAUUCCCAGUGUAGCGGUGGAAUUCGUAGAUAUUAGGAAGAACACCAGUGGCGAAGGCGGCUCACUGGUCCGGUACUGACGCUGAGGUGCGAAAGCGUGGGGAGCAAACAGG
This 253-nucleotide ribosomal RNA is filed under the name uncultured bacterium. Its description in RNAcentral is "partial 16S ribosomal RNA". It matches the Rfam family "Bacterial small subunit ribosomal RNA", at positions 524 to 776 of the family's 1533-position model. The record is from RNAcentral.